GGGAGCGCCACCACCGCCGCCCUUCCGCUCCUCAACAGCUGACAGGAUGGAAUUCGUGACUGCCUCGAGCGGUUGGAGCUUGGAAGCCACGCUGAGAAGGUGGGCGCGGGAGAUGCAAGUGAGGCACGAAUAGACUCGUUUCGCCGUUCGCUUGCCUACUUGCUUGCCUACCUCACGCAGGACUGCUGGUUAUGGCAUCCUCACAAAGCAAUAAAAGCUCCCGCCGCUUACAGGGGGUACCAUGACUCACAACCGGAUUCGCCUCGUAUUUUCACUUCUGACUGGGGAUGAAACCGCCCUGCGUGUCUCACCGGGACCCUCGUUCGACAUUCAUCCCGCCAACAUAAAUUAAUAAGGUGGAAGCCUUCCAAUGCGCUGCGUACAACAGUGCCGCCACAAGCUGGCCAUCGCGCUGCACCCGCACGGGACGACCCGACCCAAGCAAAC
Molecule: long non-coding RNA, 447 nt
Filed under: Volvox carteri
Lineage: Eukaryota; Viridiplantae; Chlorophyta; Chlorophyceae; Chlamydomonadales; Volvocaceae
Description: long non-coding RNA (VCAR_LNC002221)
Source: RNAcentral